GAUCUGCACGCCUACCUGUCCGGCUAUGCUGACGGAGAAGGGUGCUUCUGCAUCACGUUCAAUCGCAGCACGCGCCAUGUCUUCGGCUGGGAUAUCCGGCCGAGUUUCUCUGUCAGCCAGAACCGGGACCGCGCCGAGAUCCUUGAGGUGUUCCUCCGGACAUUCGGGUGGGUCGAUUCGGCCCGACCGAUCGGAUCGAACGCUCAAGUAUGAGGUGCGGAGUGUCGCGGACUUGGUGGCGCGUGUCAUCCCGCACUUCCGGCGAUACCCGCUGCUUUCAGGCAAGCGGAGAGACUUCGCGGUCUUCGCUGAAGUGUGCGAGAGGAUGUACCGUCGCGAGCACCUGACGGUGGUUGGAUUUCAGCGCAUCGUCAGGCUGGCCGGACAGAUCAACCAGACUGGCAAGAAAAGGUAUCCCAGGAUCGAGAUAAAGGUAUAGUCUACGCCCCUGGUAACAGGGAAUCGCGUGAAGUUCCGACCUGCACGAAUGGCGUAACGAGCUGAGCGCUGUCUCGACGAGGGACUCGGCGAAGUUGUGAAGCCCGUGAAGACACGGGCCACCCGCGGCUGGACGGAAAGACCCCGUGGAGCUUUACUGCAGCUUGUCAUUGGAUGUGGUCUUACCGUGUAGAGGAUAGGUGGGAGGCGGAGAAGCCGGGGCGCCAGCCUCGGUGGAGCCACCCUUGGAAUACCACCCUCGGCAAGGUUACGUCCUAACCUGGGCCCUCAGCGGGUCUGGGGACAGUGGCAGGUGGGCAGUUUGACUGGGGCGGUCGCCUCCUAAACGGUAACGGAGGCGCCCAAAGGUCCCCUCAGCACGGUUGGAAACCGUGCGGCGAGUGCAAGGGCAUAAGGGGGCUUGACUGCGAGGCCUACAAGCCGAGCAGGGGCGAAAGCCGGGCCUAGUGAUCCUACGGCGGCAAGUGGAAGCGCCGUGGCUUAACGGAUAAAAGCUACCCCGGGGAUAACAGGCUAAUAGGGCCCAAGAGUCCACAUCGACGGCCCUGUUUGGCACCUCGAUGUCGGCUCAUCUCAUCCUGGGGCUGUAGUAGGUCCCAAGGGUUGGGCUGUUCGCCCAUUAAAGAGGUACGUGAGCUGGGUUCAGAACGUCGUGAGACAGUAACCUGGACCGUUGCUGUCUAUAAAUCUGGCUAUAUGCUGGAAAGCCUGGGGGAUCCCACGCUACCCAUCCUGCAAACCCGUUGAGGAUGUGCCGAUAGGUAGGGAUGGGUGACAAUGCGAUGGGUGCAGGUAACCAGCAGGGAAGGCCAGAUGAGGGGAUCAGCCACUACAUCGCAGGUUUUGUCGACGGGGAAGGUUCGUUCCACGUGGCGGUGCAACGUCAUCCCACCACCCGGUGGCGAUGGCAGAUCGUGCCCGAGUUCCGGGUUUCCCAGAACGACGGUAAUCAGCACGUGCUGGAGUUGAUCCAGAGCGUGUUGGGCUGCGGGCACAUCAAGCGGAACCACGGGAAGAGCCUGCGAGACAGAACCUGGGUGUUGGUGGUAAGACAUCGCUCCGACCUGAUCGGGAAGGUGAUCCCGUUCUUCGAGCGGUAUCGCCUGCACACGACGAAGCGUCAUGAUUUCGAGCGGUUCGCGGCUGUCGUCCGGGCUGUGGCGGUGGGGCAACAUCGUCACCCCGCAGGACUCCGCGAGUUGCUGCGCGUGGCCUUCGCGAUGAAUCAGGGUGGAGCUCGGCGACGGCUGUCGCUGGAGACGGUCCUUGCUCAUCUGGAACCCUCAGAGACUGUACGCCAGACACCUCGCACGAGGUGAAGAUACAGUCCGAGCUUUCAGGCGACUGAAAGAGGCAGGCAGAAAUGACCUGCCCCCUCCCCUUCCAGGAGGAGUAACAACACUGUCGGUCCCUAUCCACCGCGGGCGCAGGAGACUUGAGGGGAGCUGCUCCUAGUACGAGAGGACCGGAGUGGACGGACCUCUGGUGUACCGGUUGUCCUGCCAAGGGCACGCGCCGGGUAGCCAUGUCCGGACGGGAUAAGCGCUGAAAGCAUCUAAGCGCGAAGCCCACCCCAAGACGAGGUCUCCCACCGGGUCAACCGGGUAAGCCCCCUGGGAGAUGACCAGGUUGAUAGGCCGGGGGUGUAAGCGCUGAGAGGCGUUGAGCCUACCGGUACUAAUCGGGCGAGGGCUUGAGCCC
This 2160-nucleotide ribosomal RNA is filed under the name Pseudomonadota bacterium. Its description in RNAcentral is "partial 23S ribosomal RNA". The stretch from base 541 to 2148 matches the Rfam family "Bacterial large subunit ribosomal RNA", at positions 2049 to 2912 of the family's 2925-position model. The record is from RNAcentral. RNAcentral also lists the same sequence under 1 other name. Lineage: Bacteria; Pseudomonadati; Pseudomonadota.